UGGGACCGGGAGCUCGUCGCGUGGCCACGCAUGAGGGCCAUGAGGAAAGUCCGGGCAGCACAGAGCAGCGUACUCUCGCGAGGAGAGCUAUCGGCAACGGUAGAGUAGUGUGACAGAAAACAACCGCCGGGACCCUCCCGGCAAGGGUGAAAAGGCGGGGUAAGAGCCCACCGGACGCCACAGCGAUAUGGCGUGCCGCACAUCUUGCGCGCUGCAAGGCCAAGCAAACCGGCGCAUAUGGGUUGCUCGCUCAUUGCCGGCGGGUAGGCCGCUUAGAUAAAUGACGGGCGGCGACGCGCGUUUCCCCCCGGGGAUAAUGCCGGCGCCACAUAACUCGGCUUAUACCUGGUCCCUCCAU
RNAcentral lists this RNase P RNA (358 nucleotides) under Muribaculaceae bacterium. Its description in RNAcentral is "RNase P RNA component class A". It matches the Rfam family "Bacterial RNase P class A". From Rfam's summary of the family: Ribonuclease P (RNase P) is a ubiquitous endoribonuclease, found in archaea, bacteria and eukarya as well as chloroplasts and mitochondria. Its best characterised activity is the generation of mature 5'-ends of tRNAs by cleaving the 5'-leader elements of precursor-tRNAs. Cellular RNase Ps are ribonucleoproteins. Lineage: Bacteria; Pseudomonadati; Bacteroidota; Bacteroidia; Bacteroidales; Muribaculaceae. The record is from RNAcentral.